This 440-nucleotide ribosomal RNA is filed under the name uncultured bacterium. RNAcentral describes it as "partial 16S ribosomal RNA". It matches the Rfam family "Bacterial small subunit ribosomal RNA", at positions 338 to 795 of the family's 1533-position model. The record is from RNAcentral.
CCUACGGGAGGCAGCAGUAGGGAAUAUUGCUCAAUGGGGGAAACCCUGAAGCAGCAACGCCGCGUGGAGGAUGACGGUUUUCGGAUUGUAAACUCCUUUUGUUAGAGAAGAUAAUGACGGUAUCUAACGAAUAAGCACCGUCUAACUCCGUGCCAGCAGCCGCGGUAAUACGGAGGGUGCAAGCGUUACUCGGAAUCACUGGGCGUAAAGAGCGCGUAGGCGGGAUAGCAAGUCAGAUGUGAAAUCCUAUGGCUUAACCAUAGAACUGCGUUUGAAACUGUUAUUCUAGAGUAUGGGAGAGGUAGGUGGAAUUCGUGGUGUAGGGGUAAAAUCCGUAGAGAUCAAGAAGAAUACUCAUUGCGAAGGCGGCCUGCUAGAACAUAACUGACGCUGAUGCGCGAAAGCGUGGGGAGCGAACAGGAUUAGAUACCCCAGUAGUC